GUCGUCAUCUCGUAGAACUCAAUAGCGGAGACACAUCACCGAACACCAGCAACAUAAUGCCAUGGUAACCACCCAGCAGCAGAACACGGCGAUAAUGGGCCAACAGUAAAUACAACAUCAAGAUCCUCGGAAAGGACUUUCUCUUUCGAACAAACAUAAUGGAAGCAUACUCUACACGCGCGACAUAUUCAAUCGGGCCAACCGUGUGACUCGUUUGGCAAAAAGGGCUCAUCAUCGGUUUCAUGGCAGCGAAGUGAGCAGACAAAAGAAGGCGUUUUUUUCCGAAUGGUCGCUCUGGGCAAAAGUUCAGCUAAUUGCAAGGAACAAACCACCGGAGUGACAGCAUCCGUGCUGAUUCAGGACCUUUUUCCAUAUAUUGUAGCUUUUGAAUUUUAAUACCCGGUCGAAACGAUGGCAAGUGCUGCCGAUAACUGGGUCAAAAAGGCGGAAGGAGGAUCAGGAAAUUUCUGCACUCGGUUUUGAAUUUUUCUUUUCAAUACAAAUAGGUUGUCGAUCUGAGUAUCCCUAAGGAUAAGGAACCAGAGCCGACGGCUGACAGCCCAAAGAAAGAGAAUGCGGAAAAACCUUCUAGUUCACCGCCAAUAGAACCAGCGAUUAAAUUACUCCGGUAGAAACGGCUGCACCUGCAGUUUUGUUUUCGGUAGCUACAGAAAUUAAGACUUUAGCAGCUCCUGAAGAAAAAAAAGCUGCUAGCGAAAAUGGAGAAACAGCUUCCUCCACGGAAGAUGCAGAGGCAUUCAACCCGGCGGAUGCAAGUUUGCUAAUUAAACUUAUUCGCAAAGGUCUAGUAGAAUCAAAGCUGGAUCUGGGGGUGAAGGAUCCUUCUUCGCCGCUAUACUUGGUUAAAACUUUCGAAGCUUUGCACAUGAAUUCGGAACUGCUUCUAUGCUAUGGGUUUCAACGCUCCUUCCAAGAUUCAGAAGACGGCUCAACCUACUCUGUUGGCCGAUCCACCACAGAACAUAAUCGCCCAGAGUUGGUCGGGAACAAGAAAAACCACUGCCUUCGUACUGGCAAUGCUCAAUCGAGGCAAUCCGUUGAAAAACUAUCCGCAGGUGAUUUGCCUUUCCCCACGUAUGAACUGGCAAUUCAGAAGUGGAAAGUAGCUGCAAAACGGCAAAGUUUUGUGUGGAAAUCGAACUUGGUUAAACCGUUCGCGGUGAGAAGAUCGUCAAAGGGGCGAAGCUGACUAAUCAUAUCAUCAUCGGAACAGCCGGGCGUUCGACCUUAAGAAGAUUGCCAUUUUUGUAAUGGACGAGGCGGGCGUUAUGAUCGCUGUUCUUUUUAGCAACGUACGAGCGGGAGGUGAUGGGAUUCGUCCAGUACAUCGUAACCAAUCCGAUCAUGAUUCUUCUGGUGCGGGAGCAAGAAUCACUCGAUAACACCAAACACUACUACGUCAAAUGCCGCAACCAGGACGAGAAAUAUCAAGCAAUUUCAAACAUGUACGGUGUGAUUACCGUCGGACAAGCGAUCAUUCUCUGUCAUAUGAUGUAUAGGACAGUUGUAAACUCCAAGUAAACUUAUUUUCGGCAUUGUUAAUCGAUCGAAACAGGCACGCAAAACGGCCGGUUGGUUGACCGGCAGGAUGUCCCAGGAUGAUCAUUCGGUAGCGGUACUGUCCGGUGAUCUAACGGUGGAGCAACGGUUGGAACGAACGUUUUGUCCAGGGGUAAGUUCCACCACUUGAUUCUGGCUACAGCACCAGGUUACGGAGAGAUUCUUUCGUCUUAGGUAUCGACGUCGAACAGGUUACCAUUGUCGUCAACUUCGACCUGCCGAUGGAUUAGCAGGGACGAGCCGAUUGCGAAACGUAUCUACAUCGAAUUAGACGCACCGGUAGAUUCAAACGGAAUCACCAUCAACCUAGUGGGUAGUGAUCGAAGCAUGAUGAUUUGCAGAUCAAUGGAAAAACACUUCCGGAAAAAGAUUCAGUUGCUAGACGCGGAGAACUCGGACGAAAUUUAAAAGAUCGCACCGUAAAAUGUUUUCGACCAGCUACUGGUGAAAAGCGUAGGAGCUUUUUUGGGUCAUACUUG
Molecule: long non-coding RNA, 2060 nt
Organism: Topomyia yanbarensis
Lineage: Eukaryota; Metazoa; Arthropoda; Insecta; Diptera; Culicidae
Exons: 5
Source: RefSeq, a predicted model, not a curated record